Molecule: ribosomal RNA, 402 nt
Filed under: uncultured bacterium
Lineage: Bacteria
Description: bacterial SSU rRNA
Rfam family: Bacterial small subunit ribosomal RNA
Source: RNAcentral
CAGGUCUUGACAUCCCUCUGACCGGUCUAGAGAUAGGCCUUUCCUUCGGGACAGAGGAGACAGGUGGUGCAUGGUUGUCGUCAGCUCGUGUCGUGAGAUGUUGGGUUAAGUCCCGCAACGAGCGCAACCCUUAGGUUUAGUUGCCAGCACAUGAAGGUGGGCACUCUAGAUCGACUGCCGGUGACAAACCGGAGGAAGGUGGGGAUGACGUCAAAUCAUCAUGCCCCUUAUGACCUGGGCUACACACGUACUACAAUGGCCAGUACAACGGGAAGCGAAGCCGCGAGGUGGAGCGAAUCCUAUCAAAGCUGGUCUCAGUUCGGAUUGCAGGCUGCAACUCGCCUGCAUGAAGUCGGAAUUGCUAGUAAUCGCGGAUCAGCAUGCCGCGGUGAAUACGUUCCC